Molecule: ribosomal RNA, 468 nt
Filed under: uncultured bacterium
Lineage: Bacteria
Description: partial 16S ribosomal RNA
Rfam family: Bacterial small subunit ribosomal RNA
Source: RNAcentral
GACGAACGCUGGCGGCGUGCUUAACACAUGCAAGUCGAACGGAAAGGCCCUGCUUUUGUGGGGUGCUCGAGUGGCGAACGGGCGAGUAACACGUGAGUAACCUGCCCUUGACUUUGGGAUAACUUCAGGAAACUGGGGCUAAUACCGGAUAGGAGCUCCUGCUGCAUGGUGGGGGUUGGAAAGAUUCGGCGGUUGGGGAUGGACUCGCGGCGUAUCAGCUUGUUGGUGGGGUAGUGGCUUACCAAGGCUUUGACGGGUAGUCGGCCUGGGAGGGUGACCAGCGACAUUGGGACUGAGAUACGGCCCAGACUCCUACGGGAGGCAGCAGUAGGGAAUAUUGCAGAAUGGGCGGAAGCCUGAUGCAGCAACGCCGCGUGCGGGAUGACGGCCUUCGGGUUGUAAACCGCUUUCGCCUGUGACGAAGCGUGAGUGACGGUAAUGGGUAAAGAAGCACCGGCUAACUACGUG